UUAAUUGAAACCAAAAAGAGGUUUAUUAUUGUUAAUAAUAAUAUUGAAUAAAAUAAUUUCCAAUUAAA
Molecule: transfer RNA, 68 nt
Filed under: Nurudea shiraii
Lineage: Eukaryota; Metazoa; Arthropoda; Insecta; Hemiptera; Aphididae
Also listed under: 1 other name
Description: tRNA-Asn
Source: RNAcentral